GGACUGAUGGAAUACUACUGAAUCCUGUUAACUGAUUGAAUUCUACCGAUCGUGACAUGACUGAUACUUUUCUGUGACUGACCAUGGCUCUAGGUUAAUAACUAAAUUGUCGGGUAUUGAAUACCCCCAAGACUCGAUAGCAUAAAUUAUACGCAUAGCACAAUUUUGAAACAUGAUAAAUAACUACUUGAUCAUCAUUCAUUCAUAGGGAUAUUCUAUCAAAACACUUACAUGACAUAAACUUGAAUACAUGCUAACAUGAUAUAAUUUCGUUAUUAAAUUCUCACGAACAAUUAAUCAAACACUUGAAGGACAUAAUCUAUGCACAUGAUACUAAAACAACAUGGACACAUCAUAGCUCAAUUCCACAUUUACAA
RNAcentral lists this long non-coding RNA (377 nucleotides) under Capsicum annuum. Its description in RNAcentral is "long non-coding RNA (CANN_LNC017088)". Lineage: Eukaryota; Viridiplantae; Streptophyta; Magnoliopsida; Solanales; Solanaceae. The record is from RNAcentral.